This 406-nucleotide ribosomal RNA is filed under the name uncultured bacterium. Its description in RNAcentral is "partial 16S ribosomal RNA". It matches the Rfam family "Bacterial small subunit ribosomal RNA", at positions 30 to 526 of the family's 1533-position model. The record is from RNAcentral.
AUUGAACGCUGGCGGCAGGCCUAACACAUGCAAGUCGAGCGAGCGGCGGACGGGUGAGUAAUGUAUGGGAACCUGCCUGAUGGAGGGGGAUAACUACUGGAAACGGUAGCUAAUACCGCAUACCAUCAGAUGGACCCAUAUGGGAUUAGCUUGUAGGUGGGGUAACGGCUCACCUAGGCGACGAUCCCUAGCUGGUCUGAGAGGAUGAUCAGCAACACGGGGACGGAGACACGGCCCAGACUCCUACGGGAGGCAGCAGUGGGGAAUAUUGCACAAGGGGCGAAAGCCUGAUGCAGCCAUGCCGCGUGGAUGAAGAAGGCUUUCGGGUUGUAAAGUACUUUCAGUGGGGAGGCGUUACCGACAGAAGAAGCACCGGCUAACUCCGUGCCAGCAGCCGCGGUAAUAC